Molecule: ribosomal RNA, 253 nt
Filed under: uncultured bacterium
Lineage: Bacteria
Description: partial 16S ribosomal RNA
Rfam family: Bacterial small subunit ribosomal RNA
Source: RNAcentral
UACGAAGGGUGCAAGCGUUGUUCGGAAUUACUGGGCGUAAAGCGCACGUAGGCGGAUAUUUAAGUCAGGGGUGAAAUCCCAGAGCUCAACUCUGGAACUGCCUUUGAUACUGGGUAUCUUGAGUAUGGAAGAGGUGAGUGGAAUUCCGAGUGUAGAGGUGAAAUUCGUAGAUAUUCGGAGGAACACCAGUGGCGAAGGCGGCUCACUGGUCCAUUACUGACGCUGAGGUGCGAAAGCGUGGGGAGCAAACAGG